Molecule: long non-coding RNA, 5187 nt
Filed under: Varroa destructor (honeybee mite)
Lineage: Eukaryota; Metazoa; Arthropoda; Arachnida; Mesostigmata; Varroidae
Description: uncharacterized LOC111250844, transcript variant X2
Source: RNAcentral
UAUUACAUUACACAAUAACGUUACUUCGGUCUCUGAAGCCCAACUUGUCCCUUACAAUAAUUACUAUACCAUUCCUUUUUCUCGUCUGUGUCUAACAUUUUCUGAGUAACACCCUUUCUUGUUUACCCUUCCUAAGUCGUGAUGUGUUCGAUUGUAAUGUAAAGGUUUUCGGUGUAAUCAAAUCAGCCGCAACUGGUACAAGUGAGCUAAUCAGAAUAUCGAUCAGACGCAGCACCUGCAAUUUCCUGCCAGUUUCGCGUGUCCUGGAAGUGUUACAUUUCGAGGCGCUGUUUCAAAAAGGAUUCAAUGUUUCUGUGGGUGACAGUUCGUAAAAGCGAUACAAAAUCUAAUGUCAUUCACUUCAAUCACCAUGUUUUACCACGAUCAGUGCAGCUACUGGGCUGCUCUUAGCGGAAACCUUCGGUCAACGAAAGGUCGAAGAGGGUAAAACGGCUAUCAGGUAAGAAAGGUAGAACGCCAAAGAUAAACGACGAGGAAAAGAAUGCCACAGUAGCAUAGUGGCAGAACGAGUGAGCAGCUAUCCCAAGGAGCGGUUCGGGCCCAUAUGUCAAGUAAGAUCUUAUAUACGAGAUAUUCAGAAAUAGUUAGAUUGCCCCCGGGGUAGAGAUCGAUUAUUUUCUUACACAGCUUAUAAGGACAUGGAGACUUUCAAGUCUACCCCUUCAGACUCGGUAAAGCUCCGUUAGAAAUAUGAAUCAAUGCAAUUUGGGUGUAGAUGGCGAUAUAACACACACACUGCAAUAAUUUGCCCUUUUUAUGAAGAAGCCAGACCAGCAGCAAAAAUAAAGGCGGCAGCGAAAGGGACUCGCGGUUACGACCCCAGCGGUAGCGCCACUCCGGAUGUGUCAGAAGGCGACAUAAAGCGAUUCAUACAUUUCGUAUGCGGCUGGGGAUCACCUUGACCAUGGAUGCAGAAGUCGUGGGAGAGAAACGAUGGCCGGGAAGACUGAGGAGAGCCAAACUUGGUACGGAGCAGGCAAACAAUGUCGCUACAAAUCCAAGUUCGCAGGCUGUUCGGAGAAAAACAUCGAGAGAGUAACUCUGGCCAGCUAAUUCGGUUGUUGAAAUCAUAACCUACCCGGUCAAGUUUGACGCUGAAGCCAUUACCAGGAAAGGCGGAAUAAUCCUCAAUUUUGUAUUCAUAUCAGUUCCUGUAUUAUUGACAAUUCGUCUGUGAUUGACUCAUCCGUUCACUGCACUUACUACAGCGUUUCAUUUGAAGUAGUCGCCGAACUAGUGGAGCCUUCUGAGGUCAAACAGUGCCUAAAUUUCCUCGAGAACUUAAAGAACUUCCAACCAAAUGUAGUUAAAUCCUGAAAGGAAUUCCCCUGUCUUCCCUAAAAACAUUGUAUACCCUCUUAUCGAGCCCCUAUGCAUAAUAAUGACGCGAACCUGCAAGAAGCGACUUGUUUUCAAUUUUUCAAUGUUCCAAUAGUUACAUCAGUCCAUGAAGAAAAUGUAAACCUGAACGGAAAAAUAUUAUCCAGCAGGUCAAGGGUCAAUAGCCUGCUUAGUUUAAGAAAAAACGGUAAUUGACUAUAUUGUUGUUUACUUAGCUUCAAGACUGCCUCCUGGCGCUCAUCAACGUGGAUUUGCCAAGGACAGAUUUACGAUCACAGGGCUUCGUACAAUGACCCAAGAUUGGGAAUUAUUUUAAAGCCACCAGAUAAAAUUUGACGGCAUCUACUUUAACUUUUCUAAGGUUUUUGGCCAAGUUAAUUAAGAGUUAUUACUUGUAAAGCUUAUUAAAACGGAGAAGCAGAUCCCUGCCCCAUACAAUCGAUUGGAAGCUAUCUGACAAAUCAAAUUUUUCAUGUUAAUAUUAAUUGCAUUCACAAAUUUCAGAGGAGUAUGCCUCUUGGAUGGACCUCAAGGUUUUUACACGGGCUUUAUGCUUAUGGUUUGAAACUCGAAUAGGUGGCCUUUUUACUAGAGCUGGCGCGCUUGUUACUUCAGUCGACAGUCGAUGUCGUAUCUGCGUGUGACGCACCAGUGGUACGAUCAUCUCUACCAAAAGUGCAUGCUCUCGUAAGCAAACUAACAAACACACUUUCAAGUGUGUGAUCAUUCCUCUAAUGAGAUCGGUAAAAUACAAUGACAUAGGAACUUAACUUUAGCGUUCAUCACCGUUAGUCUUAUUUUUUUUAGACACUCUGCAAUAGGAAGCUGCAUAUUUAAUAUUAAUAUUCGAACAGUCACAUAAUUCCCAAAUUUCUAUAUCAUUUCGCUGUUUAAAAUUUUCAUAUAAAAUAUAUUGACACCAUUAAAUGAAUGCGGAAUCGGUCUGUUCGUUGAGCUACCUUCAGAUACGGCAUAAAUUUAAGAAGUCUUUGAGUUUCGUGCUACUUGUUAGUAUGUUUCGAGUUUUACGACCGGUAUCGCCAUUUGUCAUUUUAUUAGAUGGCUGACCCCCAGACAUGAAAUGAGGUCAGUCUAUGACCGGCUUUCGGACUUCGAUCACCAAGUAUUCCUAAAAUUAGCAAACAAAUACGUUAUCCACUAAGCUAUCACGGGACUAUCGUCUACCAAACACCUACUUUGCCAACAAAACCGACGGGAGGAUCGAUGUAGACAUUUCUACCACCGUAGUUGAUGUCACCAACAUCCUUUAGAGCAGUGGGAUUUGUUAGUGCACGGUUCAUUUUUUCAACUAUUUACCCGACAGCUUUCUGCUGACGUUGCCAGCCUCGAAAAACUGGUUUAUACGGCUGUUCUCGGAAGGGUCAGCCAGUUUGGAGUGCCACGAGGGAGCUGCUGUAAAGGAAUGUACGAAGUGGAGAUACGGAACGCAAAUUUCUAACUUUGUUAUUAUACGUUGGAUGUCGAAAACGUGUUCUAUCGAGCUAGCUUCUUAUUUUCUGUAUUAGAGUUUUGUUUCUUGCUUUCCCUGGCUUUCUCGCUUGACUACAGGCAUGGAGAGUGACCGGCCAAUAGGCACUGCACAAAAGGAAAAAUAGCCGAAAUAGAAAUUCGAAUUACGGAGUGGCGGUAACCCGGAGAGGGUCCAGUUUGCGACUGGUAAGACACAUACCAUCGGUUACCGCAAUCGCAUUGCUUUGCUAUUUUAAGACGUUUUUUGAAUUUCUCCUUUUUCGUACGCACUUCUACGCGAAGACAACACUGAAGCCCACCCGCGAUUUCAGCUUUCUUCGAGGUUUCUACAUGCUAUCACAUAUGUCUCGCCUGCUCAGAUUCGCACUAGAAUUGAAAAUAGAUAUAGAAACUACAUAAAAUACAGAGCGCGCAUUGAAGAGGAACCAUAUACAUCGAACAUGUUAAUCACAACGCACUACGCACAGGCAAAAGAAGAUUCAAACAGCUGACGAUAGCUUACGGAGCGACGAGCUAGUAACUAAGGAAAAAUAAACGUGGAACUUGUAUCAAAGAUAAUCGUCUGUUAGAAAGUUAAGAAAGAAAAGUAACUAUUUUCAAACUGUAUAGCAUAGUCUCGGUAACAAUAUCUGUCUCAUUUCACUGGAUCCCCCUUGUCAAAGCCGGCUCUGUACUCGUUGUACAAAGUAAAUCGAGGAUUUUUCUGAACCUAAGCGGUACGGUUACCCCGAGUAGAUAUCGGCUACGCUAUCCACACAGUUGUACGCACCGGUUAAACGCUCGUCAGAUCAUUCUGAUCUCAGAAACAGCUCGCAUCGAUGCUACGUCGCGCGUCGUCGUAGCGAACCGAUGUUUUACUAGAGGAAACAGUGCAUGGGCUGUUUGUGUCGGAAAUAAUAGACUAGUAGUUAGAUUUAAUAAUAGGGUUAAACUAUUUCUGUCACGUAAUUGGAUUGGUACUUCGUGCGUUCAUGUCUGACCUGUACCACUCUUGUCAACGUAAAAGUUGUAACUAAUCUUGCCAGCAGGACCAUUUGCCGACAAACCCUCUGGCGACCACCUUGAAAGCGUUUAUCAAAAAAAAUGAGACACAGAUAAAUAUAACAUGUAAAGCCUGAAUAGGUAACGCCAACAAGAAAUUAACUGAUACCACCACUCUGCGUAUAAGCAUUUUAAUUAGGCAAAAAGCACUGUCUAAUAGAGUUGAGCGGACAUUCAACAUAUACAAACGCAUGAAGACUAAGACUAGUCGGUGUUGAAUGAAUCUUGCUCUAAUGUUAUAACCUCGUAUGGUCUCGAUUGUAAUAGGUCUCUAUAUAAGGGUUCAGGAACCAGCGAAGUAAUGAACGAGCAGAACUAAUGGUGACUAUUUACAUUGUUGAGGCAUACUCAAAGGCUGCCUAGGCCUAUGCCCAUAAGCAUCAAUUAAUCCACUGAACUUUGUUUAUCCUAGUGGUAUACCCUGAAACGGCUUUCAACUCCUAGGGAAGAUUAGUUUGCAAUGGAGAGAUACGAAUAUGUCACACUCGCCUCAUCAGAGAAUUAUAGGUCUCUUACGUUUUAACCGGAAUUCAAUAUUGUUUUGUUAGUUAGUAUCUUUCUGUUUACCUCCAACCACUGUGAUUAAUCAGCAUAGGCCAACGCAUAUAUAUCCAUUCAUGGACUUAUGACAACUGAAGCAGAUUUGUUCAGCCCAUUAUAAGCACAAAGUGAAUUUUUAGCUGAUAUAUGUAUGUAUAUGUAAGAGACACACCUCAUCGACACGUGUGGCCUUCACAAGACAGGCUUAACGAGCUAUGUCCAUGACUGCGGUCACGUAUUAAGUCAUAUGGUCUUUUAAGAGCCUACGUGUAGUUCUCGGAGAAGGCAAUUUUAGAAGACUUAACCUUUGUAUUUUACGUCCGGUAUCGCGGUGAAGCAUUUCAUUUUGGAUGCUAGCAUAACUCUAUUAUCAUGACAAUGUACCUGUAGACAAAUCAAAUCAUACGGUGUCCCCUAUAGAACAUGACCUAUCUUUUAUGUACGAAAUAGCACAUACUUCCCUUUCCCCCAUUUAAACAUGUAUCUACUUAACUAAGACAUGUCUAACUAGAAGAUAAAACCAGCAGAAUUAUCUUUUUGCACAAAAAAAAUGUAUAAAAGAACCAAGUGUGGUUUUUACUAUGAUUCGAUUUCUCACUGCGCCAGGCUACGUUAGGAAAUCUUAUCCAAGAUCGGCAUACGCAAUAAAAACAUGUCUAUAGGUAUUGGGGGGCAUGUCAGUAUGUUUGUGUCAGUUUACGUCAAGUACUUGUGUUGGAAGCAAAGAGCUUAUUCGUGUUAAACAUUAGCUGG